Gavialis gangeticus (Gharial) is the source of this 2375-nucleotide long non-coding RNA. RefSeq lists it as uncharacterized. Lineage: Eukaryota; Metazoa; Chordata; Crocodylia; Gavialidae. The transcript is spliced from 3 exons. The record is from RefSeq and is a predicted model, not a curated record.
GCAGUCACCCACAACCUGCUUCUUAAUAAGAGUGACGUUGCCGUAAGUAGAGCUAAUGCACCUUCUAGCUGAAUGCAGCUUGCUUAAUUUGUAGUGGAUUUUGAUUUCUUUCAGGCCAAAGACCACAAGAGCUUUGUCAUUGACUUCAAUGGGUGAGGGAUGCGAUCCUUGGUCCGUAAGGCAUAUCCUAUUGAAACUAAUUAUUGCCAAAACUGGGGCCAGUUGUUCCUGUUGGGCAGCUGGGCAGCUUUUCUGACUGAUGGAAGCAGAUUUUUUUGCCUUGCAGGUGUGUUACUAAACUGCAUCCCUCAUUCAGUAUAGAACAGGGGGUUAUCGCGGACAAAAAUCUCUCCACCUCAGCUGGAGAAACUCUGCUAGCAAAAUGGAAUUGAUGCCAGUAGGGUUUUACUGGAGCAUCCAAGCCCUGAUGCUGUGAGACAUCCAGCGAGGUCCUGGGUGGGCAGUCUUUUCAUGAUCCUGUGGGGUCCCAGCUUCAUCAUCCAGAAACUGGUGCUAGGGCCAUUGACUGUAAUGGCCCUAGCAUUGAAUAAUUUACAUCCACUGAGGAUCUGUCCCAUAGAUCUCACGUCAGCCUGCCUGGGACUUGGGGUUCAGUGUGGUUCCCGAAAAGAAGGAAUAUUCACCUAAGAGGAAUCUUGAUGCCCUCUGCUGGGCAGCUGUGGCAUCAGAGUGGCAAAAGCCCCUGAAAUGUUCGAGCGUAUGGCUGGCCGCCCAGAGUCAGCAGCAGUCUAUGGCUUCUGGCAGAAAAGUUAGCAGGAUUGAGGUCAUAAAAAGGUAGGGGAAUGGAAAUGUGAGCUGGCAAAGCCCUCCUUUGCUAGAUGCAGAGUGGAUAAGAGUGUGCAUUCAGAUGGCCUAAGAUUUCAGCUUUCUCUCUUGCAGACGCUCGGCUUUCCUGACAGUGCUUUGUUGACAUGUCUGAGCAUGUGGAUGGCUGGAGACACCCACGCACGUUUGCUCGUUCUGCGGUAUCUCAGCUCCACACUCCUGUGCGUUUGAAAGGGUGGACCGCUCCAGGAAAUGCCGGGGGCAUCGUCUCCCGGGUCCCCGCUGUGGACACUGCUGGAUGAGCAGAAUGCAGGUCUGUGUUUAAUCUUCCAGCCCCUUCUCCAGUGAGGGAAGAGGAGCUUCAGCCUUUGCAAGUCUUGGCGCCUCUGCUGGGAAAGCUGCCUGUCAGGGCCACUUGUGCUGGUCACCUUCAUGAACAGGAAGGGACCAGCAAGAAAUAAUUUAGGGCCACUAAAUUCAUCUCACCCAUUUCAUUCAACUGGAACCAGCCUCAGCUGAGCUCCUUGCUGGGCUGAGCUGGAUUCGGAUGAGGUAUUGCAAGGGCCGAGGUUCUGCAAAACAGUUGCGGCCGGUGUCCAUAGGUAGGGAAAUAGCCUUAACUGAAAGGGGAAGGGUUUGUUUUUGUCCGCAGGAGCAAGCAAGAGCUGGACGCCGGCUGUUGCUGCUUGCCAGCACGGGCAGGGGUCAGCACACAUGGGGCAGGAUGGAUGUCUGCAAGGAGUGGCGGUCCCCAGGGAGAUCUGGUAGUGGCAGAAGGGACACGUGCCAAGCUGUGCCUUCAGGAGCUGUUGUGAGAUCCAGCAUCGACAGUGAUGACUGGCACUUUCUCUCACCUUCCCUUCCUGCAUCGUGUGGAUUGAUCUGUUCUCCAAGGAUUAUUUUGGGCAAUUCUGCUGUGCUCCACUCUGCUCUGCAAAGGCUCCCCGGGGAUCGUGGCAGGACAACAGAGAUGGUGAAGAGACUGCUGAUUAUGAAUAGACAACCGCCUAUAAUAAUGACACAGAAAAACUCGUUUAGAGGGAGGAGUUAAACAUCCCCCUGCAAUACCGUGCAAUCAGACAGCACUGUGCAUUAGCACGAAGAUCAGAAGCUGACUGGGAGAGCAAGUGAAACUCCAGGACCGCUUUUCUUUCAGGAUGCAAAAGGAAAGCAAAGCAUGACUAGCAAAAGGUAAGAUGUGCACUCACGCUAAGGAUUUGUGAGAAGUCUGUAGUAUGAAGAGUAUUAGUGCAAAGCAAAAUCACUCCAGUACGUAACAGCAAAACCAAAGCCUGCAAUCCUCCGUCCUCAGAGAACACCAGGUGUGCGUGUGUGUGAUGCACAGGAGCGUGGUCCAGUGGACUGGGAUUGUGGAGAUCUGGGUGCCACACCCAGCUCUGCUCCUCAGCUGCCUUCGGCAAGUCCCUCCAACUCUGUGCCUCAGUUUCCCCUCCCCUCUGGUUUGGCCGUCUCUGGUACAUAUGCAGAAUGCACAGCACAAAGGGAGCCCAGUUUUGCCUGAGGCUCUUGCCCACUACUGUAAUACAGAUAACAGACCCCGGUCCUAACAAAUGCGUUUAGGCUCAGGG